CUUCUACAUCCAAGCCAACCACGACAGUGAAAAAAGAUGCUUCAUCUUCUUCUCGGCCAACAUCAUCUCGACCUCAAUGUUUCAAGUGUUCUGGCUAUGGGCACAUUGCUUCUGAGUGUCCAAAUAGAAGAAUGGUUUCUCUUGUCGAAGAAGGUGAUGGUGAAGAAAAUGAGUCAGAUUCUAUAUAUGAUGAAAUUGAAG
RNAcentral lists this long non-coding RNA (201 nucleotides) under Phoenix dactylifera (date palm). Its description in RNAcentral is "long non-coding RNA (PDAC_LNC009291)". Lineage: Eukaryota; Viridiplantae; Streptophyta; Magnoliopsida; Arecales; Arecaceae. The record is from RNAcentral.